Zalophus californianus (California sea lion) is the source of this 368-nucleotide long non-coding RNA. RefSeq lists it as uncharacterized. The record is from RefSeq and is a predicted model, not a curated record. The transcript is spliced from 3 exons. NCBI's taxonomy places the organism in Eukaryota, Metazoa, Chordata, Mammalia, Carnivora, Otariidae.
UGCUUUCUAGUCAUCUUUAUUUGCUGCUUCUCUGAGGAUGCAGGUCAUGAGCCUCACAUCCAAGGGAUACCAGCAGGGACCGUUCCUCAGCAAGAAAGCAGAGUUUCUGUCAUGUAUCAAAAUUAAACCUAGUUUCCUUUUCUUCUGAUUAUAUAAACGACACCUGCUUUUUGUGAAAGUUGAAAGAAAAAGCCAACCAGUCAAAAACGGUAAAGAGAAGAAAGUAAAAAUCAUGUGACAGUUCAUGCAUCAUCAAUAUUUAGUAACCAGUAGAGUAAAGUAAGCAGGAAGGCCCAGGAGAACGUUUCUUGAUCACAUCCCUCCCUCAAGAACAUCAUUUGGCAUCCGUCCGUGGACAAAAGUGCCUU